GUCGUCUGCCAUAAGGGUCCUGGUGGCUCUGCCAGAGCCUCUUGUGACCUGCACUGGCUGUGGGGGUCAUAGGAAGGACUCAGGGGACGCAGGAGCCCUAGGAAUAGAUCCCUAUCAAUACUUGGUCCUCCAUGGCGCAUUUCAACCAGACCCAAUAUGUUAACCGUUUAUCAUUAUCCCCCAGAGCCAUGGAUGGCUCUAUUUUUUUUUGGAGGUAGUGCCUCCUAAGCAGCCACCCAAAGGAGUGAAAACUGGAGGUUAAGAAAGGAAAAGGAAUGAAGGGCAAUUAGAAGCAGCACAGGUUUCAGAACUAUGUGAGGGACUGGCCGGUUAUUCUUCACCAAGGGGUGACCCUGCACCCCUCGGUGUUAAUCGGCUGGACCCUGUCAAACAGCCGAUCAAAUGAUGUAGCCACGGCUCCUGGCAAGCUAUUGUCUGCUAGUUUUCUAUUGUCAAUCCUGUUGGGGUUUCAUUGAUUUUCUUUAUGGGUUUUCUAUUCUCUGUUUGCUUAAUUUCUGUUCUAUGUUUUAUUUCCUUUUCUCAAUAC
RNAcentral lists this long non-coding RNA (547 nucleotides) under Equus asinus (donkey). RNAcentral's name for it is "lncRNA (ENSEASG00005037538.1)". The record is from RNAcentral. Lineage: Eukaryota; Metazoa; Chordata; Mammalia; Perissodactyla; Equidae.